Molecule: long non-coding RNA, 516 nt
Organism: Armigeres subalbatus
Lineage: Eukaryota; Metazoa; Arthropoda; Insecta; Diptera; Culicidae
Exons: 4
Source: RefSeq, a predicted model, not a curated record
CCUCCAACGGCAAUUUAUACGAGCUCUUUGUGGGUCUGUCUGCGUGAUGCAGUUGGCGAGAAUGACGUGGAGCAGUACUGUCAACUGUAGAUCGUAAAGCGAUGACUAGCGAAAAAUGUGUUCUACAUAAAGGUUGUGAGUGAGACGGUGAAUUUCUUAAUCUAUAAUUUGUUGCUAAAACUAGUUAUUCCCUACUGUUAACUUAUUCUAUCUAUUACUAAAUUGAAUCGAGACGUGAAAGUGAGCCAACAAGCUGGACCUGCAUGCGAAGGAUCCAGACAGUCAGUAUUCCUCAAAUUAACGAUUUGAGAUUCUGUUAAUCCUAAUUGACGUCGCUAGAAGAGAAACCGUAGUAAAAACAGGGAAACCUACAAACGAAAAAUUUAAUCUCGGUGCUCGACACUGCAAAUAAACCGGAUUGAAAAUUUUCGGAAAGCGUUUCUCUUGUUACAUCUGCAACAAUCUUAAAUUUUUCGUUUUCUGGAUCGAUCUACGAUGGCCAAUAGGAGGAACCCU